This 827-nucleotide ribosomal RNA is filed under the name uncultured bacterium. RNAcentral describes it as "bacterial SSU rRNA". It matches the Rfam family "Bacterial small subunit ribosomal RNA", at positions 94 to 954 of the family's 1533-position model. The record is from RNAcentral.
AGUGGCGCACGGGUGAGUAACACGUGAAUCAUCUACCUCCGAGUGGGGAAUAACCUAGAGAAAUCUGGGCUAAUACCGCAUAACACUUACGAGUCAAAGCAGCAAUGCGCUUGGAGAGGAGUUCGCGGCAGAUUAGUUAGUUGGCGGGGUAAUGGCCCACCAAGACGAUGAUCUGUAUCCGGCCUGAGAGGGCGCACGGACACACUGGAACUGAAACACGGUCCAGACUCCUACGGGAGGCAGCAGUGGGGAAUUUUGCGCAAUGGGGGAAACCCUGACGCAGCAACGCCGCGUGGAAAAUGAAAUCCCUUGGGAUGUAAACUCCUUUCGAUUGGGAAGAUUAUGACGGUACCAAUAGAAGAAGCCCCGGCUAACUUCGUGCCAGCAGCCGCGGCAAUACGAGGGGGGCAAGCGUUGCUCGGAAUUAUUGGGCGUAAAGGGCGCGUAGGCGGUUUGACAAGUCUGAUGUGAAAUCUCUGGGCUCAACCCAGAGUCUGCAUUAGAAACUGUCGGGCUUGAGUAUGGGAGAGGUGAGUGGAAUUUCCGGUGUAGCGGUGAAAUGCGUAGAUAUCGGAAGGAACACCCGUGGCGAAAGCGGCGAGCUGGAUCACUACUGACGCUGAGGAACGAAAGCUAGGGGAGCAAACAGGAUUAGAUACCCUGGUAGUCCUAGCCCUAAACGAUCAGGACUUGGGGUGCCACCCGUUCGGGUGUCGUCCCGGAGCUAACGCGUUAAGUCCUGCACCUGGGGAGUACGGUCGCAAGACUGAAACUCAAAGGAAUUGACGGGGGCCCGCACAAGCGGUGGAACAUGUGGUUCAAUUCGA